CUGCUGUGAUGACAACCACUUGGUUUCGCUUACUUCUGAUAUGUAGUGAUGUCAGUUUUCUCUUGGCUGUCUGAGCAG
Heteronotia binoei (common prickly gecko) is the source of this 78-nucleotide small nucleolar RNA. RefSeq annotates it as small nucleolar RNA SNORD53/SNORD92. Lineage: Eukaryota; Metazoa; Chordata; Lepidosauria; Squamata; Gekkonidae. The record is from RefSeq and is a predicted model, not a curated record. The transcript has a single exon.